CCUACGGGUGGCAGCAGUGGGGAAUAUUGGACAAUGGGGGAAACCCUGAUCCAGCAAUGCCGCGUGGGUGAUGAAGGCCUUCGGGUUGUAAAGCCCUUUUGGCGGGGACGAUGAUGACGGUACCCGCAGAAUAAGCCCCGGCUAACUUCGUGCCAGCAGCCGCGGUAAUACGAAGGGGGCUAGCGUUGUUCGGAAUUACUGGGCGUAAAGGGCGCGUAGGCGGCUCUGUGCGUCGUGCGUGAAAGGCCUGGGCUCAACCCGGGAACGGCGCUCGAUACGACGGAGCUAGAGUGCAGGAGAGGAUGGUGGAAUUCCCAGUGUAGAGGUGAAAUUCGUAGAUAUUGGGAAGAACACCGGUGGCGAAGGCGGCCAUCUGGACUGCAACUGACGCUGAGGCGCGAAAGCGUGGGGAGCAAACAGGAUUAGAUACCCUUGUAGUC
RNAcentral lists this ribosomal RNA (440 nucleotides) under uncultured bacterium. Its description in RNAcentral is "bacterial SSU rRNA". It matches the Rfam family "Bacterial small subunit ribosomal RNA", at positions 338 to 795 of the family's 1533-position model. The record is from RNAcentral.